UGAGGAAUAUUGGUCAAUGGCCGAAAGGCUGAACCAGCCAUGCCGCGUGAAGGUCAGUGCCCUAUGGGCGUUAAACUUCUUUUAUAAGGGAAUAAAGUGGGUCUCGUGAGACUUUUUGCAUGUACCUUAUGAAUAAGGACCGGCUAAUUCCGUGCCAGCAGCCGCGGUAAUACGGAAGGUCCGGGCGUUAUCCGGAUUUAUUGGGUUUAAAGGGAGCGUAGGCCGGAGAUUAAGCGUGUUGUGAAAUGUAGUGGCUCAACCUCUGCACUGCAGCGCGAACUGGUCUUCUUGAGUACGCACAACGUGGGCGGAAUUCGUGGUGUAGCGGUGAAAUGCUUAGAUAUCACGAAGAACUCCGAUUGCGAAGGCAGCUCACGGGAGCGCAACUGACGCUGAAGCUCGAAAGUGCGGGUAUCGAACAGGAUUAGAUACCCUGGGUAGU
This 442-nucleotide ribosomal RNA is filed under the name uncultured Prevotella sp. RNAcentral's name for it is "bacterial SSU rRNA". It matches the Rfam family "Bacterial small subunit ribosomal RNA", at positions 355 to 794 of the family's 1533-position model. Lineage: Bacteria; Pseudomonadati; Bacteroidota; Bacteroidia; Bacteroidales; Prevotellaceae. The record is from RNAcentral.